Molecule: long non-coding RNA, 248 nt
Filed under: Mytilus galloprovincialis (Mediterranean mussel)
Lineage: Eukaryota; Metazoa; Mollusca; Bivalvia; Mytilida; Mytilidae
Source: RNAcentral
AUCGAAAAUAAACUGGCAAUGCCAUUAAAAAAGUGGAUAAAAAAAGAGAAAAAGACAAAAGACAAAUAAUAUUACUCAAGACACAGCAUAGAAAACCCAAGACUAAGCAAUCCUCACAAUGUUUUCCACUUUUUGUGAAAUUGAAGCCAGUGAUCAAGCCUGAACAUAUUAUUAAUUCAACCAUGAGGUAAAAACGCCAAAUUUUCUAAUAUAUAUUCGUUAUCUAUAAAUUCGAUUAAAUCACAAGC